AAAAAGCGAUCACCGAACUUUAGCAACAGUUAAAUAAUGAUAAUCAAAACUGGAAGACUGAUACUGACCACACCAGCAUGCACAUUUAUAAAAGAUUAAUUAUAUAAUAGUUUUUUAUUAUGAAUCAUAUGCAUAUUUUUACAAUGUAUUUGUUUAUCUUGUUGAAUAAUUUUGUGGAAUAUAUCUAUAGUUUUUACAUGA
This is a long non-coding RNA of Homalodisca vitripennis (glassy-winged sharpshooter), 201 nucleotides long. RefSeq lists it as uncharacterized. The transcript has 2 exons. The record is from RefSeq and is a predicted model, not a curated record. Lineage: Eukaryota; Metazoa; Arthropoda; Insecta; Hemiptera; Cicadellidae.